UGUUUGUAAAAUACUUUAGUCUGUCAAACUGUUAAUAGAUUGCGCUGUGUCACUUUAGUGAGAUACCUGUGAAUCAAAGCUGGAUCCUUGAUGGUUUCCCGAUGACGUUAAACCAAGCACAGCUUCUAGAGGAAGCUCUCACCGGCUGCAAUAGGAAUCUCAUGGAAAUGGAGGCAAAGAAAACACAAAUAUCCACACUGGCGGUGGACCCUACAGCUACAAAAGAAGUACCUCUCCCCCCUUCUGCUUUUGAUUUUGUCAUAUUGCUAAAUAUUUCAGACACUUUCUUGCUGAAUCGCAUGAAUGAUGUCAUAGGUGAAGAAUUUUCACAUGAAGUGGCUCAUAAAGAUAUCGAUCAACAUGGAACUGCUGAAAACCAAGAUAAGCAUGGGUACCAGAAUUUAAGAGAUCACAUACAUAAUAGAAUUAUAGGCUUCUUGGAUAACUGGCCUUUGUUGGAACAGUGGUUUUCAGAACCAGAAAAUAUUUUGAUAAAAGUCAAUGCUGAAAUAGAUAAAGAGCCUUUAUGCGAAAAGGUAAAAGAAAUUUUUACAAAUGAAAUAAUGAAGAAAAAGAAUAAAG
This 582-nucleotide long non-coding RNA is filed under the name Cavia porcellus (domestic guinea pig). RNAcentral describes it as "lncRNA (ENSCPOG00000037928.1)". Lineage: Eukaryota; Metazoa; Chordata; Mammalia; Rodentia; Caviidae. The record is from RNAcentral.